Molecule: ribosomal RNA, 408 nt
Filed under: uncultured ammonia-oxidizing beta proteobacterium
Lineage: Bacteria; Pseudomonadati; Pseudomonadota; Betaproteobacteria
Description: bacterial SSU rRNA
Rfam family: Bacterial small subunit ribosomal RNA
Source: RNAcentral
GAAAGCAGGGGAUCGCAAGACCUUGCGCUUUUGGAGUGGCCGAUGCCUGAUUAGCUAGUUGGUGGGGUAAUGGCCUACCAAGGCGACGAUCAGUAGUUGGUUUGAGAGGACGACCAGCCACACUGGGACUGAGACACGGCCCAGACUCCUACGGGAGGCAGCAGUGGGGAAUUUUGGACAAUGGGCGAAAGCCUGAUCCAGCAAUGCCGCGUGAGUGAAGAAGGCCUUCGGGUUGUAAAGCUCUUUCAGUCGAGAAGAAAAGGUUGUGACUAAUAAUCACAACUCAUGACGGUAUCGACAGAAGAAGCACCGGCUAACUACGUGCCAGCAGCCGCGGUAAUACGUAGGGUGCGAGCGUUAAUCGGAAUUACUGGGCGUAAAGGGUGCGCAGGCGGCUUUGUAAGUCAG